This 609-nucleotide ribosomal RNA is filed under the name uncultured bacterium. Its description in RNAcentral is "bacterial SSU rRNA". It matches the Rfam family "Bacterial small subunit ribosomal RNA", at positions 233 to 835 of the family's 1533-position model. The record is from RNAcentral.
GCGGCCCAUCAGCUAGUUGGCGAGGUAAUGGCUCACCAAGGCAAAGACGGGUAGCUGGUCUGAGAGGAUGAUCAGCCACACUGGUACUGGAACACGGACCAGACUCCUACGGGAGGCAGCAGUGGGGAAUCUUGGUCAAUGGGCGAAAGCCUGAACCAGCGACGCCGCGUGAGUGAUGAAGGCCUUCGGGUUGUAAAGCUCUGUGGGGAGGGACGAAAGAACUCGGUCGAAUAGGCCGAGCGUUGACGGUACCUCCUUAGCAAGCACCGGCUAACUCUGUGCCAGCAGCCGCGGUAAGACAGAGGGUGCAAACGUUGCUCGGAAUCACUGGGCGUAAAGGGCGUGUAGGCGGGAAGGAAAGUCGGGCGUGAAAGCCCCAAGCUCAACUUGGGAACUGCUCUCGAAACUGCCUUUCUUGAGUGUCGGAGAGGAAAGCGGAAUUCCUGGUGUAGAGGUGAAAUUCGUAGAUAUCAGGAGGAACACCAGUGGCGAAGGCGGCUUUCUGGACGAUAACUGACGCUGAGACGCGAAAGCGUGGGGAGCAAACAGGAUUAGAUACCCUGGUAGUCCACGCCGUAAACGAUGAGUGCUAGGUGUGGGGGGUAUUGA